Molecule: long non-coding RNA, 900 nt
Filed under: Equus asinus (donkey)
Lineage: Eukaryota; Metazoa; Chordata; Mammalia; Perissodactyla; Equidae
Description: lncRNA (ENSEASG00005026356.1)
Source: RNAcentral
AAAUAGGCCUAGCCGAAGUGAAAGGAGGAACAAUCUCUGCUUCUGGAAAGAACAUUACAACUGAGAUGGUUUGAAGAGGAAAGGAACCUGUGACUCUCGUUGUCUCCAGGAUUUCACCAUAAAUGGAAGAAAAUGAAAAAUUCACACUCAUGUCUGACAACGGGAGACCUCUAGAGGAGAGAGCUCAGCCCACGGGAAUGGGUCACACAUUGUGAAUUAUCAGGCAUGACUGAAGGGAAGUCUAGCUAAAGUUGCACCUGGUUUUGGCUAUGAUGUCAAGAAUGAGGAGGGCCAGUCCUGCGACUUGGAAGCAGCUGUGGAGGAAUCAGUACAACUACCCUCAGAGAUGGCGGUCCCUUCCAGAAAAGGACAUCAGGACGUACAGCGAGAGACACCAGGGAGAUGCUUGCACAGAGAAAAAGAUCACUGAGGACACAGUAAGAAGGCAGCCACCUACAAGCCAAGGGGAGAGGCCUCAAGAGAACCCACACCUGCCAACGCCUUGAUCUUGGACAUCCAGGCUCUAAAACUGAAGACUGGCCCUGAGCUAACAUCCAUGCCCAUCUUCCUCUACUUUAUAUGUGGGACACCUACCACAGCAUGGCUUUUGCCAAGUGGUGCCAUGUCCACACCCGGGAUCCGAACCGGUGAACCCCAGGCUGCUGAGAAGUGGAAUGUGUGAACUUAACCUCUGCACCACCAGGCCAGCCCCUAUAGUAUCUAAAUUCUAAACAAAUGCUCUAAAGUGAGAAUUUUUUUAUUAAAACUUUAAGUGAAAUCUGCUAUAAAUAAAAAAUUCUAGACUUGUGAUUUCAAAUUAACUAGGCAUUAUUUUAUUCUCUAUUACCAUUAGUUUCAUUUCUAACAUACCAAAAUUGGUAAUAAAAUGUUAAUACCUAU